UACGUAGGGUGCAAGCGUUGUCCGGAAUUAUUGGGCGUAAAGAGCUCGUAGGCGGCCUGGCGCGUCGGCUGUGAAAACCCGAGGCUCAACCUCGGGCCUGCAGUCGAUACGGGCAGGCUAGAGUUCGGUAGGGGAGACUGGAAUUCCUGGUGUAGCGGUGAAAUGCGCAGAUAUCAGGAGGAACACCGGUGGCGAAGGCGGGUCUCUGGGCCGAAACUGACGCUGAGGAGCGAAAGCGUGGGGAGCGAACAGG
Molecule: ribosomal RNA, 253 nt
Filed under: uncultured bacterium
Lineage: Bacteria
Description: partial 16S ribosomal RNA
Rfam family: Bacterial small subunit ribosomal RNA
Source: RNAcentral